RNAcentral lists this ribosomal RNA (301 nucleotides) under uncultured bacterium. Its description in RNAcentral is "partial 16S ribosomal RNA". It matches the Rfam family "Bacterial small subunit ribosomal RNA", at positions 509 to 807 of the family's 1533-position model. The record is from RNAcentral.
CAGCCGCCACGGUAAUACGAAGGGGGCUAGCAUUGCUCGGAAUGACUGGGCGUAAAGGGCGCGUAGGCGGUUUUGACAGUCAGAUGUGAAAUCCCCGGGCUCAACCUGGGAAUGGCAGUGGAUACUGGCUCGCUAGAGUGUGUCAGAGGAUGGUGGAAUUCCCGGUGUAGCGGUGAAAUGCGUAGAGAUCGGGAGGAACAUCAGUGGCGAAGGCGGCUUACUGGCUCAUACUGGACGCUGAGGUGCGAAAGCGUGGGGAGCAAACAGGAUUAGAUACCCCCGUAGUCCCUGUCUCUUAUAC